UACAACGCACUACCUGUUCAUAGUAGUCGUUGCUGUCAACAGCACACUGCUCACCAUCAACGCAGGGGCCUACAUCUUCUACACAGACUGGGCGUGGACAUCCUUCGUUGUGUUCUCGGUGGCGUCGGCGACGAUAAUAGAGAUACGCUCAAAUUCUGUCAUGCUAUUCACAGGGUUGCUAUACACAGCAACCUUUACUACCACGAACAUGCACAUCUCACAAUGCUGCUCAAACGUCGCAGGGGUUGUACCUGAACACUCGUACCCCUACGCGGCGACAAGACGCAACAAGCACGCUGCCAUACUGAUUGGCGGUACGCUGGUUGGCCUAGCCUUCCCGCUGUUCAACAUGGUCAACCUGUUGCUUGUAAGGGACCCGCUCGAGGUGGCCGUCAAGUAUCCGAUACCGACGCUGCCCGCGUACAUGACGCCUAUAGAGCCUCAGGUAGGGAAGUUCUACAACUCGCCUGUCGCCCUGGGUUCAGGUGCCGGUGCAGUGCUAACGGUACCCAUCGCUGCGUUGGGUGCAAAACUAAACACGUGG
RNAcentral lists this ribosomal RNA (544 nucleotides) under uncultured Nitrososphaerota archaeon. RNAcentral describes it as "uncultured thaumarchaeote partial 16S ribosomal RNA". Lineage: Archaea; Thermoproteati; Nitrososphaerota. The record is from RNAcentral.